AGGGGAGUGAAAAAGAACCUGAAACCGUGUACGUACAAGCAGUGGGAGCACAGAGCAAUCUGUGUGACUGCGUACCUUUUGUAUAAUGGGUCAGCGACUUAUAUUCUGUAGCAAGGUUAACCGAAUAGGGGAGCCGAAGGGAAACCGAGUCUUAACUGGGCGUUAAGUUGCAGGGUAUAGACCCGAAACCCGGUGAUCUAGCCAUGGGCAGGUUGAAGGUUGGGUAACACUAACUGGAGGACCGAACCGACUAAUGUUGAAAAAUUAGCGGAUGACUUGUGGCUGGGGGUGAAAGGCCAAUCAAACCGGGAGAUAGCUGGUUCUCCCCGAAAGCUAUUUAGGUAGCGCCUCGUGAAUUCAUCUCCGGGGGUAGAGCACUGUUUCGGCAAGGGGGUCAUCCCGACUUACCAACCCGAUGCAAACUGCGAAUACCGGAGAAUGUUAUCACGGGAGACACACGGCGGGUGCUAACGUCCGUCGUGAAGAGGGAAACAACCCAGACCGCCAGCUAAGGUCCCAAAGUCAUGGUUAAGUGGGAAACGAUGUGGGAAGGCCCAGACAGCCAGGAUGUUGGCUUAGAAGCAGCCAUCAUUUAAAGAAAGCGUAAUAGCUCACUGGUCGAGUCGGCCUGCGCGGAAGAUGUAACGGGGCUAAACCAUGCACCGAAGCUGCGGCAGCGACGCUGAUGCGUUGUUGGGUAGGGGAGCGUUCUGUAAGCCUGUGAAGGUGUGCUGUGAGGCAUGCUGGAGGUAUCAGAAGUGCGAAUGCUGACAUAAGUAACGAUAAAGCGGGUGAAAAGCCCGCUCGCCGGAAGACCAAGGGUUCCUGUCCAACGUUAAUCGGGGCAGGGUGAGUCGACCCCUAAGGCGAGGCCGAAAGGCGUAGUCGAUGGGAAACAGGUUAAUAUUCCUGUACUUGGUGUUACUGCGAAGGGGGGACGGAGAAGGCUAUGUUGGCCGGGCGACGGUUGUCCCGGUUUAAGCGUGUAGGCUGGUUUUCCAGGCAAAUCCGGAAAACUAAGGCUGAGGCGUGAUGACGAGGCACUACGGUGCUGAAGCAACAAAUGCCCUGCUUCCAGGAAAAGCCUCUAAGCAUCAGGUAACAUCAAAUCGUACCCCAAACCGACACAGGUGGUCAGGUAGAGAAUACCAAGGCGCUUGAGAGAACUCGGGUGAAGGAACUAGGCAAAAUGGUGCCGUAACUUCGGGAGAAGGCACGCUGAUAUGUAGGUGAAGUCCCUCGCGGAUGGAGCUGAAAUCAGUCGAAGAUACCAGCUGGCUGCAACUGUUUAUUAAAAACACAGCACUGUGCAAACACGAAAGUGGACGUAUACGGUGUGACGCCUGCCCGGUGCCGGAAGGUUAAUUGAUGGGGUCAGCGCAAGCGAAGCUCUUGAUCGAAGCCCCGGUAAACGGCGGCCGUAACUAUAACGGUCCUAAGGUAGCGAAAUUCCUUGUCGGGUAAGUUCCGACCUGCACGAAUGGCGUAAUGAUGGCCAGGCUGUCUCCACCCGAGACUCAGUGAAAUUGAACUCGCUGUGAAGAUGCAGUGUACCCGCGGCAAGACGGAAAGACCCCGUGAACCUUUACUAUAGCUUGACACUGAACAUUGAGCCUUGAUGUGUAGGAUAGGUGGGAGGCUUUGAAGUGUGGACGCCAGUCUGCAUGGAGCCGACCUUGAAAUACCACCCUUUAAUGUUUGAUGUUCUAACGUUGACCCGUAAUCCGGGUUGCGGACAGUGUCUGGUGGGUAGUUUGACUGGGGCGGUCUCCUCCUAAAGAGUAACGGAGGAGCACGAAGGUUGGCUAAUCCUGGUCGGACAUCAGGAGGUUAGUGCAAUGGCAUAAGCCAGCUUGACUGCGAGCGUGACGGCGCGAGCAGGUGCGAAAGCAGGUCAUAGUGAUCCGGUGGUUCUGAAUGGAAGGGCCAUCGCUCAACGGAUAAAAGGUACUCCGGGGAUAACAGGCUGAUACCGCCCAAGAGUUCAUAUCGACGGCGGUGUUUGGCACCUCGAUGUCGGCUCAUCACAUCCUGGGGCUGAAGUAGGUCCCAAGGGUAUGGCUGUUCGCCAUUUAAAGUGGUACGCGAGCUGGGUUUAGAACGUCGUGAGACAGUUCGGUCCCUA
This 2125-nucleotide ribosomal RNA is filed under the name Escherichia coli. RNAcentral describes it as "partial 23S ribosomal RNA". It matches the Rfam family "Bacterial large subunit ribosomal RNA", at positions 532 to 2640 of the family's 2925-position model. Lineage: Bacteria; Pseudomonadati; Pseudomonadota; Gammaproteobacteria; Enterobacterales; Enterobacteriaceae. The record is from RNAcentral.